GUAUAGUUACACUCACAAGUGCAGAGCAGUGUCAGGCUCUAUAUAAUCAGCUUCAAGGUUCCAAUACUGGGUAUUGCGAUGGGAACCAAGUUUGCACCAAGUUAUGCCAACCUAUUUAUGUCAUUUUGGGAGUGCUUCUUCAUGAGGACGGGGGUGUCUGGAGUACAAACUUGGUUCUCUUUCAAAGAUACAUACAUUCCACUGUUAUUUAUGCACAUUACACUAUGUAUGGCUAUAUCUAUUAUUUUUUUUAGAUUCCCGAGUGCUGUAUUACUAUCACCUAAAUGUGAACAUCUACCUUGUAACAUACUGUGAAGUCUGUGGGUGUUGUGUAUGAUCGGUAGUGUAACAACUACAAUUUAAUUUAUUUGUUUACCAAUCUGCAAUAAAAUAUGUUGUUUUUUACGAAACGAGGUAAUAGCUUUAUUAUAUACAGAACAUUAAGCAAUUAUACAGCAAUUAGUUUUUAGUGUAAAAGCAGUAAUACACAAUUUUAUAGGUAAUUUAAAAAGUAGCACCUAUGCAGGAUAAAAUUCCUUUU
Pelobates cultripes (western spadefoot toad) is the source of this 541-nucleotide non-coding RNA. The record is from the annotation of a GenBank genome assembly. Lineage: Eukaryota; Metazoa; Chordata; Amphibia; Anura; Pelobatidae.